CAAUAGCGUAUAUUAAAGUUGUUGCGGUUAAAAAGCUCGUAGUUGGAUUUCUGCCGAGGACGACCGGUCCGCCCUCUGGGUGUGUAUCUGGUUUGGCCUGGGCAUCUUCUUGGAGAACGUAGCUGCACUUGACUGUGUGGUGCGGUGUCCAGGACUUUUACUUUGAGGAAAUUAGAGUGUUUCAAGCAGGCACACGCCUUGAAUACAUUAGCAUGGAAUAAUAAGAUAGGACCUCGGUUCUAUUUUGUUGGUUUCUAGAGCUGAGGUAAUGAUUAAUAGGGAUAGUUGGGGGCAUUCGUAUUUAACUGUCAGAGGUGAAAUUCCUGGAUUUGUUAAAGACGGACUACUGCGAAAGCAUUUGCCAAGGAUGUUUNCAUUG
Molecule: ribosomal RNA, 379 nt
Filed under: uncultured eukaryote
Lineage: Eukaryota
Description: partial 18S ribosomal RNA
Rfam family: Eukaryotic small subunit ribosomal RNA
Source: RNAcentral